RNAcentral lists this ribosomal RNA (222 nucleotides) under Triticum aestivum (bread wheat). RNAcentral describes it as "partial small subunit ribosomal RNA". The record is from RNAcentral. Lineage: Eukaryota; Viridiplantae; Streptophyta; Magnoliopsida; Poales; Poaceae.
AUGGAUAACAACAUUUUAAGUUGGAACAUUAGAGGGCUAAACAACCCUGCUAGACGGAAAGUUGUAGCAAAUUUUGUUCAGAAUCAUCAAUGCGGACUGGUCUGCAUCCAGGAGACCAAACUGAACGUCAUCAACAACCAAAUUAUUUCUGAGUGUUUGGGGAGUCGUUUUGUCAACAACUUUGCAUACCUCCCAGCUGAUGGUACCCGUGGCGGAAUCCUC